UGGAAAACUUGAGUGCAGAAGAGGAAAGUGGAAUUCCAUGUGUAGCGGUGAAAUGCGCAGAGAUAUGGAGGAACACCAGUGGCGAAGGCGACUUUCUGGUCUGUAACUGACGCUGAUGUGCGAAAGCGUGGGGAUCAAACAGGAUUAGAUACCCUGGUAGUCCACGCCGUAAACGAUGAGUGCUAAGUGUUAGGGGGGUUUCCGCCCCUUAGUGCUGCAGCUAACGCAUUAAGCACUCCGCCUGGGGGAGUACGACCGCAAGGGUUGAAACUCAAAGGAAUUGACGGGGACCCGCACAAGCGGUGGAGCAUGUGGUUAAUUCGAAGCA
RNAcentral lists this ribosomal RNA (328 nucleotides) under Staphylococcus sp. BCCS A8. RNAcentral describes it as "bacterial SSU rRNA". It matches the Rfam family "Bacterial small subunit ribosomal RNA", at positions 634 to 958 of the family's 1533-position model. The record is from RNAcentral. Lineage: Bacteria; Bacillati; Bacillota; Bacilli; Caryophanales; Staphylococcaceae.